Molecule: long non-coding RNA, 899 nt
Filed under: Ananas comosus (pineapple)
Lineage: Eukaryota; Viridiplantae; Streptophyta; Magnoliopsida; Poales; Bromeliaceae
Description: long non-coding RNA (ACOM_LNC013484)
Source: RNAcentral
AAAUUUCAAUGGCUAUUAUGACGAGUUUGGAGUUUAACGGUGUAGAAGAAUCUAAAUUUCUUCAAAUUUUGAUAGAAAAUUCUUUAAACUAUAUAGAUUAAGGUUAACAUUCUUGAUCUUGAAUUUAAAAGUCCUAUGCUUAAAUUUUAAAGAGUAUUCAAUUCCUACCGUCCAUUUUGACAUAAUUUAUUUACUAAGUAAACGAUAUCGAAAAAAACUAAAAUUUUAUUCCUAAGAACUUCAUAUACCCUAGAUCAUAUUUAACGGUGUCGAUCGUUGAUUUGAAUGCCCUAAGAUCGAAAACAACACUAUAGUACGGGAGCUCCCGUACUAUAGAUAGUAUAGUAACCUAAUUCUAUAUAUAUAUAUAUAUAUAUAACUAGGCUGUCAUACUAUUAAUAAUGCUAAGUCAUUGGUGCUAUUAGGUUUUCAAUUCUUGGAUGAAGAGAUGUGCGGUUAGGAUUAUAGUGGUCCCCUAGUGCUGAGUGGGUGAUUAGUUGAAUAGUAUGAUCUAACAUAUGAAAAUGAUUAAAAUGAUAGAUCUAACGGUAUAAAACUUUAUAGUACCAAACAUUUUGUACUAUUUAUAGCAUGAUAGCCGGACUCAUAUAUAUAGAUUUUCCUUUUUUUUGAAUUGUGCUAGAUCUAUGACCCACUUUGCGUCGUAAUUAAUCCUACAACUAUUCUAAUCUAAUACCAAUUUUUUCUUCACUUAUCUUAUCACGUUUUCUUUUAUUUACUAAAACCAAAAGAGGUUACUAAACCUUCUGUUACCAUAUAUAUUACAUACCAUAUAUAUAUUAUAUAUGUUACCAUAUAUAAUAUAUAUAUAUUACCAUUUAUGUUAUAUAUAUUACUAUGUAUAUUACUUUCUUAUUAGGAUAGUAUUAUUUAUUUCU